Molecule: ribosomal RNA, 253 nt
Filed under: uncultured bacterium
Lineage: Bacteria
Description: partial 16S ribosomal RNA
Rfam family: Bacterial small subunit ribosomal RNA
Source: RNAcentral
UACGGGGGGGGCAAGCGUUGUUCGGAAUUACUGGGCGUAAAGGGCUCGUAGGUGGCCAACUAAGUCAGACGUGAAAUCCCUCGGCUUAACCGGGGAACUGCGUCUGAUACUGGAUGGCUUGAGUUCGGGAGAGGGAUGCGGAAUUCCAGGUGUAGCGGUGAAAUGCGUAGAUAUCUGGAGGAACUCCGGUGGCGAAGGCGGCAUCCUGGACCGGCACUGACACUGAGGAGCGAAAGCCAGGGGAGCAAACAGG